UACCAGCACCCCGAGUGGUCGGGACGAUUAUUGGGCCUAAAGCAUCCGUAGCCGGUUUUACAAGUCCCCCGUUAAAUCCAGCUGCUUAACAGAUGGGCUGCGGAGGAUACUAUAAGACUAGGAGGCAGGAGAGGCAAGCGGUACUCAGUGGGUAGGGGUAAAAUCCGUUGAUAUCAUGGGGAAUACCAAAAGCGAAGGCAGUACACUGGCGCAUUCCUGACACUGAAACACGAAAGCGUGGGUAGCGAAUGGG
This 253-nucleotide ribosomal RNA is filed under the name uncultured bacterium. Its description in RNAcentral is "partial 16S ribosomal RNA". The stretch from base 27 to 253 matches the Rfam family "Bacterial small subunit ribosomal RNA", at positions 550 to 776 of the family's 1533-position model. The record is from RNAcentral.